CUGACUGGAAAAAUAUUUUGCUCACAUGUUCUUGAGAAAGAACUCAGGUUCUGGGGUCUGAUGCCCUUGGGGCUUUUACGUCACCACACGAACGAGGUCUCUCCAAGGAAAUGCGGCAUCAAUGACUUUAAAAAUAAAACACCGGGCAGAACGCUUUUGGGAGGAAUGACGACAGGUAUAGCAUCACGACUCUGCUAUUCUUAUUGGUACUAUGCAAGGCACUGGUCUUCAUCUGAAGAUUUAUCAGCAUACAAGACAGAUGUGGUCUCUUGCCUUGGAUCACACAGUUAAUGGAGGAGCUGGAACCAGAAAAAAAACUGUAGAUUUUUAAUUAAAAGAACUUCCAUUAAUCAAAUGCUGACUCUAUACCAGGCCCGAAGUGUUUCACCUACACUAAGUCAUAUAAUCUCUACUUAUGGUAGGGCAGAACACACCUUCCCACUCCUAGGGCCUCCUGGCCCAUCUCUCCUGCCUCCUUUUCUCUGCCCAAGAGGGAAAUGGCUUAUCUGUGUUUGGAAAGAUUAACAGAGCCCAAGUAAUUCAGUCCCAUCUCUUAUCUCUCGUUUUUGGUAGGCAGAACUGGCUGUCUGAAAAAAGUUUGUUCAGCUUUGCUCUUACAGAUCCUAUGGAGAACUGGGGCAGAAGAUCAGCAAGACACAUACUGGGGUUUAAAAUUAGGAAGCCCAGUUUCUCACAUCAGCUUUCUCAUCAAAUGAGUUACUCUGUGUAUAUGUAAUGGAGAAGCAUUUCAUAAAAAUAACAAGUAACUGUGCAC
Molecule: long non-coding RNA, 775 nt
Organism: Heterocephalus glaber (naked mole-rat)
Lineage: Eukaryota; Metazoa; Chordata; Mammalia; Rodentia; Bathyergidae
Source: Ensembl